GUGAAUUCAAUUUUUCAGUUUACCGUUCUUAUUGUGCAAAUGUUGAAUUAAAUUGACAUACUUGGGUGUGGAAUAUCUGAUUUUAAUUCCAUACAUUGUUUCUCUGAUGGUUGGAACAGAUGCAUUGGGGGUAUGGUUGAGUAACAGAGUUUGUGGAAUAUUGUUAAUAUAUUGUAGAUUGGACUUUAAAUAAGUCAAAAAUCAACUAUUUGUUAGAAUGCCAUAUAGAAUUAAAAUCUGUGUUAGAGAAGUCUUGUUCCUAUGUGCCAGUGCUUGAUCAUUAUAUCAUAUUUCGCAGUGGAAGUGAUUG
Molecule: unclassified non-coding RNA, 310 nt
Filed under: Hevea brasiliensis (rubber tree)
Lineage: Eukaryota; Viridiplantae; Streptophyta; Magnoliopsida; Malpighiales; Euphorbiaceae
Source: RNAcentral